GCCAUGGCUCAGUGGUAGAGCACCUGCUUUGCAUGCAGAAGGUCCCAGGUUCAGUCCUAGCAUCUCAAGGCA
This is a non-coding RNA of Podarcis lilfordi (Lilford's wall lizard), 72 nucleotides long. NCBI's taxonomy places the organism in Eukaryota, Metazoa, Chordata, Lepidosauria, Squamata, Lacertidae. The record is from the annotation of a GenBank genome assembly.